UGAAGAUUUGGUGAUUGAGUGGCGGACGGGUGAGUAACGCGUGGGUAACCUGCCCUGUACAGGGGGAUAACAGUCAGAAAUGACUGCUAAUACCGCAUAAGACCACAGCACCGCAUGGUGCAGGGGUAAAAACUCCGGUGGUACAGGAUGGACCCGCGUCUGAUUAGCUGGUUGGUGAGGUAACGGCUCACCAAGGCGACGAUCAGUAGCCGGCUUGAGAGAGUGAACGGCCACAUUGGGACUGAGACACGGCCCAAACUCCUACGGGAGGCAGCAGUGGGGAAUAUUGCACAAUGGGGGAAACCCUGAUGCAGCGACGCCGCGUGAGUGAAGAAGUAUCUCGGUAUGUAAAGCUCUAUCAGCAGGGAAGAAAAUGACGGUACCUGACUAAGAAGCCCCGGCUAACUACGUGCCAGCAGCCGCGGUAAUACGUAGGGGGCAAGCGUUAUCCGGAAUUACUGGGUGUAAAGGGUGCGUAGGUGGUAUGGCAAGUCAGAAGUGAAAACCCAGGGCUUAACUCUGGGACUGCUUUUGAAACUGUCAGACUAGAGUGCAGGAGAGGUAAGCGGAAUUCCUAGUGUAGCGGUGAAAUGCGUAGAUAUUAGGAGGAACAUCNAGUGGCGAAGGCGGCUUACUGGACUNGAAACUGACACUGA
RNAcentral lists this ribosomal RNA (656 nucleotides) under uncultured Lachnospiraceae bacterium. Its description in RNAcentral is "bacterial SSU rRNA". It matches the Rfam family "Bacterial small subunit ribosomal RNA", at positions 77 to 749 of the family's 1533-position model. The record is from RNAcentral. Lineage: Bacteria; Bacillati; Bacillota; Clostridia; Lachnospirales; Lachnospiraceae.